GAUGAACGCUGGCGGCGUGCCUAAUACAUGCAAGUCGAGCGAACGGACGAGAAGCUUGCUUCUCUGAUGUUAGCGGCGGACGGGUGAGUAACACGUGGAUAACCUACCUAUAAGACUGGGAUAACUUCGGGAAACCGGAGCUAAUACCGGAUAAUAUUUUGAACCGCAUGGUUCAAAAGUGAAAGACGGUCUUGCUGUCACUUAUAGAUGGAUCCGCGCUGCAUUAGCUAGUUGGUAAGGUAACGGCUUACCAAGGCAACGAUGCAUAGCCGACCUGAGAGGGUGAUCGGCCACACUGGAACUGAGACACGGUCCAGACUCCUACGGGAGGCAGCAGUAGGGAAUCUUCCGCAAUGGGCGAAAGCCUGACGGAGCAACGCCGCGUGAGUGAUGAAGGUCUUCGGAUCGUAAAACUCUGUUAUUAGGGAAGAACAUAUGUGUAAGUACUGUGCACAUCUUGACGGUACCUAAUCAGAAGGCCACGGCUAACUACGUG
Molecule: ribosomal RNA, 496 nt
Filed under: uncultured bacterium
Lineage: Bacteria
Description: partial 16S ribosomal RNA
Rfam family: Bacterial small subunit ribosomal RNA
Source: RNAcentral